Periophthalmus magnuspinnatus is the source of this 590-nucleotide long non-coding RNA. RefSeq lists it as uncharacterized. The transcript is spliced from 2 exons. The record is from RefSeq and is a predicted model, not a curated record. Lineage: Eukaryota; Metazoa; Chordata; Actinopteri; Gobiiformes; Gobiidae.
CAUGUGCCAAAUGGGCAGAAUAAUAUCCAUUUCUGAAGGCAAAUGACAAUUACCCAAGAUAACAUUGUAUUUCCGGUUGUCUUACCCGAAAGACAUCCUUUGCAGGUCUAUAAAAGAAACGGUUGGGCCAAGCAGUUCAAUAAACAACACAUUCAUCUCAAGAUUUAAAGAUAGCCUUUUGAAUUUCAAUGAGACGUGCAGUUGUAGUGGUUCUGCUGUGCAUACUAUGUGUGGCACAGAUUGAGAGCCAAAAUAAUGCCAAUACUCUGCGGUUGUGCGGGCGAGCGUUUGUGCGGGCGCUGGUUUACACAUGUGGAGGCUCCAGGUGGAAGAGACUGAUGACAGAGGAGGGUGCUCUGCUUGGAGAGACCACAGCAGCAAAUCCUUUAAGCACAGAAGUUUUGAGGCCUAUGAAUCGCCAAUGGAGGGACCACCACCAGGCCUUAGCAACAGAGUGCUGCGAUGUAGGAUGUCAAAAGAGUGACCUAACUUUACUCUGCUGAGGGAGCACAUCCCAGUUAGCUUUAAGGAUCACAAAUUUGUUUGUUAAAUGUAAUUUUAUAUCUUUAGUUAGUAAAAACAUAAAAUCA